CCUACGGGGGGCAGUAGUGAGGAAUAUUGGUCAAUGGGCGGAAGCCUGAACCAGCCAAGUCGCGUGAGGGAUUAAGGCCCUGCGGGUCGUAAACCUCUUUUGCCGGGGAGCAGAGGUCCGGACGUGUCCGGGCCGGGAGAGUACCCGGAGAAAAAGCAUCGGCUAACUCCGUGCCAGCAGCCGCGGUAAUACGGAGGAUGCGAGCGUUAUCCGGAUUUAUUGGGUUUAAAGGGAGCGUAGGCGGAUUGAUAAGUUAGAGGUGAAAUGUCCGAGCUUAACUCGGGAACUGCCUCUAAUACUGUUGAUCUAGAGAGUAGAUGCGGUAGGCGGAAUGUAUGGUGUAGUGGUGAAAUGCUUAGAGAUCAUACAGAACACCGAUUGCGAAGGCAGCUUACUAAACUGUGACUGACAUUGAUGCUCGAAAGUGUGGGUAUCAAACAGGAUUAGAUACCCCUGUAGUC
This 461-nucleotide ribosomal RNA is filed under the name uncultured bacterium. RNAcentral's name for it is "partial 16S ribosomal RNA". It matches the Rfam family "Bacterial small subunit ribosomal RNA", at positions 338 to 795 of the family's 1533-position model. The record is from RNAcentral.